UACAUGGGGUGCAAACGUUGCUCGGAAUUAUUGGGCGUAAAGCGCGCGUAGGCGGUUACUCACGUCGGAUGUGAAAGCCCUCGGCUUAACUGAGGAAGUGCACCCGAAACUGAGUAGCUAGAGUACCAAAGAGGGUCGCGGAAUUCCCGGUGUAGAGGUGAAAUUCGUAGAUAUCGGGAGGAACACCGGUGGCGAAGGCGGCGACCUGGGUGGAUACUGACGCUGAGGCGCGAAAGCGUGGGGAGCAAACAGG
This 253-nucleotide ribosomal RNA is filed under the name uncultured bacterium. RNAcentral's name for it is "partial 16S ribosomal RNA". It matches the Rfam family "Bacterial small subunit ribosomal RNA", at positions 524 to 776 of the family's 1533-position model. The record is from RNAcentral.